ACCCUUGAUUUGUGAAGAUGGUCUUGGGAAUGUGAAUUUUUAUGUUUUUAUAAUUUGGUGUUGCUGUUGAAUGGCUCAGUUGUAACGUCAGAUAAUCAGACAGAGAAUCCUGAAGUCUGCACAAAGCAUGUAAACAUUUUAUUGCAUGAUACUCCCCUUGAAGUUUUUAUAUUUUCCAAUGUUAAGAUCUCCAAUCAUUGUUAUAUGAAAACUUUCUCCCAAACAGUAAAAGUUAACCUCUACAAUGUUGUAAAAGUUACAACGGACGUGGUGAUUCAUGUGAGGUUAAUUAUCAAACUUUUUUCUGAGAACUUUGAACUUUCUGGACUAUUUUCAACUAUGGUAAUAAAUAUGUAAUGAGUAAAAUCUUCUGACAGAAUGCUCGUCAGGCACCUUUGGCAUAGAUUGUAAUGAGGACUGUCUUGACGGGUUCUAUGGACGUUUAUAAUUGUUAUUUGUGUGACAAGGUCUCUGGAUGUCAGGUGAUUGGUAAGAAAAAUGUUUGUGCAUAAGUUUAAGUUUUAUUCCUCGAAUGGCUCAAGUUAUUUAUUAUAUAAAUGUGUUUACAUUAGCAAUAAAUAAUUACGAGAGAUAUUUCAAAAAGAUACUUAAAUAAAUAAAUGUUUAUUCAGUAUAUGCAUACAUAAGCUCUGUACCCAAGGAUGAUUUCUACCAAGUUUGAAAUUGGCACAGUGCUUCUGCAGAAGUUAGAAAUGUGAAAAGUUUAUGUACAGACGGACGGGCGCCUGACAACCUGUGAUCGGAAAAGCUCACCUGAUCUGAAAGCUCAAAUCAUAUGAGGUAAAACACUACUCUUAAGUUGAAUAUUUUGUGAAAAAUGUACGUGAAAUACCAAAGGCAUUGAACAUUUAAAAGUACAGGAAAAGGGGCGGGGGUGGGGUGUGAAAGUCCUUUAUCCACAAGCACCUGUGUUCUCAAAGCAAGGGGUGUCCAUGGCGUAGUGGUUAGAGCAUCACGCUCAAAAUCACAUGGCCUUUCACUUCUGCUCGGUGCGGAUUCGAAGUUUCCCAGUUCACCUGCGGAAGCUCGGUAGUCUUUUCCCAGGCUCAUUGUAUCUGGAUUCUCUUCUUCCAAGAAAAACUGGGAGCAUCCAUAUAACUGAAAAAUUGUUGAGUGUGGCGGAAAACAUCAAUCAGUCAAUCAAUCAAUCUCAAACCAAAAUUAAGGGUUGUACAUAAUAUGAUUCGAGCACUUCUCUAAGGCAGGACAAGCUAUAAAAUUUAUUUGUUUAAUUUGCUUUCUUCCGUUGCUUUGAGUUCUUUGAAUUCCGCAAGUUUAAAAAACAUGAAUUAGUUAAUACAUGUACAUGAAAGGUGAAAAUAACGAACAUUGAUCAAUUUCAUAACUCCUAUAAGCAAUACAAAAUAGAGAGUUGGGCAAACAAGGACCCCUGGUUAUACCACAGGUGGGAUGAGGUUCCUAGGAGGAGUAAACAUCCCUUGUCGACCGGUAACACCCGCCGUGAACCUAUAUCUUGAUCAGGUAAACGGAGUUAUCGUAGUCAAAAUCAGUGUGCCAAGAACAACCUAACAGUCGGUAUGAAACAUGUAUCUUCAACUUCAUAGCUUAUUAUCACAGAUUGACUGAGUUCUUGUCAAUAUAUAUAUAAAUGACAAACUUCACAACACUUUACAAUAUACAGUUUUUCUCCACUUUUACAUAUUGCAUUUUGUUUACUACAGUUAAUUAAAUUAAUGAAAUUAAUGUUGGUUUCUGCUUCCACAUCAUAUGUUCUUGUUCCCAAACUUUGGCGUGCAGAGGUGUAACUAGCGAAUGGCAAUGUUUCCUAUAUUUGAUCUACUUGUACACUGGACAUCAGAAGUGAAGUGAAGACAAUCUGGUUUAUUGAGAAAUUAUUAAGUGAAGUUUUCAAUAUACAAAACACUGGGUGCCAACUAUAUCUCUGUGUACGCUUUGCCUGCUACGCCCAAACCAACUCGCAACUGGUAUUUCAAGUGAAUAUAUACACAGGUAUCUAAAUGUAGACCUGGUGAACAUCAUUAACUUUACCUGUAUGGAAGCAAGUUAGGAAUAAAAUUAUAUACAUUUAAUUCUUUUGUACAAGGUUAAAACUAGGGAAAGUAGUUUGGACAUAAAAUGUGACACUUAAAGAACUUUAAAUAAGACAACUCAUUCCAGUUCUGUAUCUGUUACUUUUAUACUGUUUUGCGAAAAGUUUAUCGUUAACCUUGCAAGCGUGUCACAUUUGAAACUAUUGUGUUCUGAAUCAAUUUAUGCAUAUUGGAACGAAAUUUGUCUUAAUUACUGAUAACUGUUCAAUCACAUGUUUAUUUUAAAAGAAAUGAAUUUCAUGUUUGUAUAGACAGGGAAUAAAUGUGACGCUUCACUCUCGGAUACUUCAUGAACAGCAUCAGUUCGAACAAGACAAAUACUAACCCCUGGAUAUACCAGUGGUGGGAUUAGGUGCCUAGGAGGAGUACGCAUCCCCUGUCGACCGGUCACACCCGCCGUAAAUCUAUCUUUAUCAAGUAUAAAUGUUAUGAAUUAUUACACACUUUCGUAUGAUGAUUAUGGUGCAUAUUUCGUAGUAAUUAAAAAUGAAAUUUCUACAAAACAAAUAUAUAUUCCUCAAUAUUUUUAAUUGUCACUUCAAAUAGGAAGGAAGUUGUACCGGAUAUUUCAUUUCAGCACAUAUCCAAAUCAACGUUCCUGUUUGGGAAGGUAAAUCAGUACUAUUAGAAUGUUAGGGAACGUUUCCAUAUUCAGAAUAAGCUAUGAUACUGGUUUUGGUAAUGUAAUGUUAUGAUGUGCAUAAUAAUCCGCUUUUAUUUGGUGGUGCUGUUGAAUAGUUUAUUUGUGAUAUCACUUGCUCAGAUAUAUAAUCCUGGGGUCUGUUCAAAUGAAGACGAACCUCUACAAUGUUGUCAAAAUUACAAAAGACGUGGUAAUUCAUGCGAAGAAUGCUUGCCAGGCACGUUUGGUAUAGAUUGUGAGAAGGACUGUCCUGAAGGGUUCUAUGGACGUUUGUGUGCAGAAGUCUGUAAUUGUUCUUCGUGUGACAAGGUCUCUGGGUGUCAGCCGAAUUCAACUCAGACUGGUGGUGUACUAGUCAAAACGACACCAUUGGGUGGAUUUCCUCAACUCCAUUGAUGCAGCUGGUGGUGGUGGUCCAGCAUUAACAUUUCAAGGCGGGAAUUUUGAACUGUUAGAUCCUCAGAUGUGUUGGCAGCAAAACAAUUUUGCUGAUAAUUCAAUGAAUUCAAAAGAUAAUAGCCAUGCUAAGCUGUCGACUCUAGACGGUGUGUACAAUCAUCUCAACAUGGAUGUGGACGAUUACAACAUAUUAAGCCUGACAAUCAACAACAGUCAUGUAAUGAAGCUCUUUUGGAUUUUGUGUAGGCAAUAGAGAAAAUGAUAAAUCGUAGAAUAAAUAAAAAUAAAAAUUUAUUUAUCAAUAA
Molecule: RNA transcript, 3440 nt
Organism: Ostrea edulis (European flat oyster)
Lineage: Eukaryota; Metazoa; Mollusca; Bivalvia; Ostreida; Ostreidae
Gene name: multiple epidermal growth factor-like domains protein 10
Exons: 4
Source: RefSeq, a predicted model, not a curated record